Molecule: small nucleolar RNA, 88 nt
Filed under: Rhizoclosmatium globosum
Lineage: Eukaryota; Fungi; Chytridiomycota; Chytridiomycetes; Chytridiales; Chytriomycetaceae
Description: Small nucleolar RNA R38
Rfam family: Small nucleolar RNA R38
About the family: snoR38 is a C/D box small nucleolar RNA conserved across yeast, human, Arabidopsis and rice.
Source: Rfam by way of RNAcentral
AUUUGGGAAUGAUGAACGAAUUUUGUCAAUCAAACAGUUAUCCCUGACGGAAAGAUUAUUUGUCGAUAUGAUGGACUCUGACCCAAAU